UGUCUCAGUUCGGAUUGGAGUCUGCAACCCGACUCCAUGAAGCUGGAUUCGCUAGUAAUCGCGCAUCAGCCACGGCGCGGUGAAUACGUUCCCGGGCCUUGUACACACCGCCCGUCAAGCCAUGGAAGCCGGGAGUGCCUGAAGUGCGUGAGCGCAAGCAGCGCCCUAAGGUAAAACCGGUGACUGGGGCUAAGUCGUAACAAGGUACC
This 209-nucleotide ribosomal RNA is filed under the name uncultured bacterium. RNAcentral describes it as "partial 16S ribosomal RNA". It matches the Rfam family "Bacterial small subunit ribosomal RNA", at positions 1284 to 1500 of the family's 1533-position model. The record is from RNAcentral.